Long non-coding RNA from Alligator mississippiensis (American alligator), 3643 nucleotides. RefSeq lists it as uncharacterized. The record is from RefSeq and is a predicted model, not a curated record. Lineage: Eukaryota; Metazoa; Chordata; Crocodylia; Alligatoridae. The transcript has 3 exons.
GCCAGCAAAUAGGGAAGCAGUUUGCAAGCAGUUCACUGGGAGCAAGAAGAGGAAGAGAAGCCAGGCACCCAAUCCUGCCCUGGGAAGGUGACUAUGAUGCCCUGUGUAUCCAGUAUGACAGUAUCCAUACUGCCAGGUUCUUCGGCCCAUGCCAAACCCCACUGCAGUGGAGCUCUGCUGUAUCUAAAGAGCCAACAGCAGAACCAGGACUUCCAUAGCUAGCCAAAAACGAUUUGCAGAUUUCUUGUGGAAAUUGGAUGCUAGCUCAGAGAUUUCCGCUAUCCCACUGAAUGGUGUUUCUACUCCAAAUGUGUCUCUCUCAUUCCAUCAGUUGCCUUUUGUGUAUCACGAUACAUAUGGGGAACGGAGCAUGGUGCAACCAAAUUCACUUGUUUCUACCCACCAGAAGCCUCGCGAGUACAGCUGGGUGACUUUCUGAGGUGCGAGGGCAGGGGAAGUGUAGAGAAUCCUUUUUUAAGGUGAAUUAGCUUUGACUGUGUUAAUACCCUUUUAUACUUCUUAUCCAAGUUGGAAGCAGUAUAGCCCAAAAAUGGCUGUAGAAACAGCAAUUUUUAAAUAGAUGUUGGCAAAUAGUUGUGGACAGUGAACUAUGAAUUCAUGCACAGGAUUGUUAACAAACAGAAAUUCACUGUUACAUUUACCCUCUUGAGGAGGAAACUCAGUACCCUAAGUUCUCUACAUCCAAUCAAAACUACCUUAUAUGCUUUGAAUAUGGAAUACGCAUAUAUUCCAUAUUCACAAUAAACCACUCAUACAUAAUUUACAGACCAACGGCAAUUCAGUGAAAUUAUUCAGCAAUUAAUUUAGAAUAAUGAAUAAAUUUGAGAAAAAUCGUGAUCUACUCACGGACAAUUACCAAAGAGGAAAAACUCCCACAAAAUUGAUCAAAUGCAUUAUUCACUGUCAUUGAACAUUAUUCACCUGGCUGUUCUCCCAAGACUCAAUGUGUAAAUCAUGUCAGUCAUAAAUACGAAGAGACUUAUUUGCCAAACAUGUUGAGUAGUAGCAGUGGCGCUGAGCUAAUGGCUACCGUUUUAUCACACUUUUAGCACUAAAUCUGAACCUCACCUAUUGCUGAAUGGCAUUGAAUGGGUCCUUUUCAGAGAUAUCUAAACAGCUAAAGAAAGGUUUUCAGAUGAACCACAGAUAGCUCAUGUGUCCACUAAUGAUUUAUUCCCUUCCCAUCAUUAUCGACAAGGAUAAAAUACAGGAUCUCUGAGCUGAGGUUGUCUAGCCAUUAUAGUGCAUAAAAUAUUGAUGCAAAUUAAUGUAAAAAAGCUGAAGUUCUUGUAAUUCUAGAUACAUAAUAAAACUUCUUGAUUUCUUUUAAAGCCUAGUCAUUAAAAAUGAGUACCAGAUACCAGUGGGGAAUUGCUGCUCUUGGAACAUAUUACCUCGCUAGUUGUACACCUUGGUAAACUUUAACUGUAAUAUCAGCCUUUACCACCAGAUGGCAAAAGAGUGUCAUUUUUCACAUGUGUAGCAGCUGCACUGCUACUUCCAGCUCCAAUUUAUACUCAAACUUACAAAUCCAUGGGUAUAUAGGCCAUAGUUUUGUGUAGAAAGUCUUAAUUUUCAUAAAAUCCUCUUCUGUAGUUGCAUAAUCUCUCAAGCAUUGUUAUGUCCAUCUCUGCACCUACUACCCUCCCUAAUUCUCAUGUAUCUGAUGGACUCAAGUGCAUAACUAAUGUGCUGAAGAGUAUACUCCUAUUUUAAGUUAGUUAAGUAGAUUUUGUAUCUGAAUAGAUCUCUGUAGAUGACUGUUACCAUAUUUUCUUGCAUACAACACACAUUUAUUCCCCCAAACUAUCAGCUGGAAAUUUUUGUGCAUGCUAUAGAAAAUAAAAUUGGUAAGAACAGUUCUGCCAGGAGCAAAAGUGAAAAUAAAAUGUACAUGUAACUCACAGGGAACAGAACAAUGAGCAGGCUCUGGUUCCUACCUGCUACUACUCAGUUACUAUCUACAAGGAAAUAACUUUUUUCUUCAUUCUGCCUUUCAGAAAUCAGGACUAUAUAUUAUUCCACAGCAUGCUGUGUGUGAGAAAAUAUGGUAUUACUAUGUAUUUUUUUAUGGUAACCUCUAGGAGCUCCAGACAUGGAGCAAUGCCCUACUGUGCUACUUGCUAUACAUAGUACAGGGAACAAAAAAAAAUAUUGUCUGGACCAAAGAGCUUAAGGAAGCAAAUCUGUAUAAAGACUUGUAUUUUCUUCUUCCCGCAGAGGAAGCAGAGUUUUCCAUUUGGGAGUCCCAUAGGGAAACAUUUUUUGCUUUCAAUUUUGCAUUGGCCUGUGUGUUUCAGGUUUGUUUAUGGUGUAAAAGAAGCUAUCAGCUAUGAAUCCCCAGAAUUAAGAAUCCUGAUUAAGACUCUGUCUUCUUUCUUAUGUGCAUAUCAUGAUCAUUUACAUUAAUGGACCUAUUCCUGAAGAAAAUGACCAAAGUCUAUUGGACCGUAGCCCAUCUCUACAAAGCUCUGCCCAUGCAUCAUGGAGGAAAGUAUGAGAGAAUAGCCAAAGAGCAUAAUUUAUGCUGGACAAGUGCACUAUGCAAUUAUUUUUAUUGAGUUACAUGGGAAAAUCUCAUCAGUUCAGAGACUCUUUGCGAUGACUCAGACUCAAAAUCCCCUAAUGACUCUGAUGUUCAACACUAAUUUACUAUCGGUCAAGAAACAGCCUCAGAACUGAAGCUAUUUCUCUUUUCAGUUUGGGGAUAGGAAUAGACCAAUGGACUGCACUGAGCCUUGGACAAAUUUGGAUCAGGAUAAGAAAUUCAUUAGGCACACUGUCUCCAAUACAACAUAAACAGGAUUGAAAAAGUUUGGAUUUUGUACAUAUAUUUUGAAAAUAAAUUUUAAAAGAACAUUUUUAAAAGUUCCAGCUUGUUUCUUCAGUGCUUUGAGAGCUAAAAGAUCCCAUUUUAGAAGCAUUUGUGUAGAGGCUGCAGAAUCUUGGACAUGGUUUGGGACAUCUUUGGGGGAACCACAAAAGGGAGGUGGGGAACAUAGUUCGGAAUAUUUCCUGACAUGAAUGGGUGUUGAGCAAUCAUUUACAAAAGAAAAGAAUAAAACCUUCACAAGGAGGAUACCCAUUUACUUGGUCCGUUAAUUUGUAUGAAAUAAAAAAAACCCCAAGUAGCUUUUGUUAUAAGCUUCCCCCAAGGGACUCACAGGAGAUAACCCAUCAGUAUUUUUGUAUCUGCCCCCAGUGCUUACCGGUAGGCAUCACAUUUUCUUCCUUGCUAGUCUAACCACAGUUUCCAGAUAUAUUCAAUAAAUCAGGAGUUAAAAGGAAAGAGUAGAUGUGGGGAGCAGCUGUUUAUUAUCUGCACAUCUCUGGAGAAGAAUAAUCCACACUGCAUUUCCAUGCCCACUUGAAAUAGAAUGCGACCAUGACCCUGCAAGUGGCUCUUCUUGAAUUGUUUCCUGCAUCGUGUCUUACUCCAGUAUUUUAAUUGUUUGCUUACAUCAGUUUCACUUCACACUAUCACUUGUGUUGUUUAGGCGAAUGAGGAGGCUGAGCUUUAAAUAAUACAGCACAUGAUUUUUAUUUGCCAUGUGGAAUGAUAUUUUUUCACCUGAUUUAUGCCCCACCUGGACAAAAUUAUUUUUAUGGCAGGCUUAUUUCA